Molecule: long non-coding RNA, 421 nt
Organism: Schistocerca serialis cubense
Lineage: Eukaryota; Metazoa; Arthropoda; Insecta; Orthoptera; Acrididae
Exons: 3
Source: RefSeq, a predicted model, not a curated record
UAUCACACCCAACUCGCUGGAGAUGCUGAGCCUCGCUGCCGACAGCUACUGAAGAGAGAGAGCAGUGGCGUCAAACGUGCGCCAGCUAUCAAGGUCCCCAAAGCCGAAAACGAACACCUGUCGGCUGCCAGGAGGCAAUGUACAACAUUCACCACAGUAUGUUGGAAAAGUGGAGUGCUGAGUGCCUUUCACCUUCUUCGACGGCAGAGUCUGUCACGGCAGCAAUGGCGAAGACCACACGUUUGAUAUGGUUGUCCACAGCAGCCAGACGGCGGGAUGUCCUGGUCGUCUUCUCGUUCAGCGAGGGUGAAACACCUUCUAAUUACCGUUGAUGUCUCUCAUCAGUCCAUCAUGUGCAAUCUACCUUGUCUCUUCUCACCUCUGGUACACCCCAAUGGUCUGGAGGGCGUGUAAACAACGA